CAGAAAAAAAAGAAAUAUUAAAUAUAUAUUGUGUCAUCCAAUUGAGUGAUUCCUUUUUUUCUUCUAACCUUGAAAGUAUCGAUAGAUACUAUCGAAGAGCAGAUGCUAUGAAUCAAUUAAUUGAAAUUGAGUUCAUUUUUCAAAAAAAUCAUCGGAAAAAGUGAUCCAUUUGUUGUCAUUUAUACGACCAAAAUAUAAUGAUCAUGAUCAUUAAGAAUUCAACGGGACCCUUCCUCGCGAAUCAGACAAAGAAAGAGGAGGCGGGCCCCGUUGAGUUCUUACACUUUCAUGCCUAUAACUUAGUUCGUCUCAUUAUCCAUUAUUCCAUAUUACAGGGACGAACCCAAUCCAGAAUAUGAACCAUAAAAGAAAAUACCUAUUAAACCGAUCACAGGAAUACCAGUUACCGUACCUAUUAUCCAAAGAGGAAUCCUUCCAGUAGUAUCGGCCCUAAGUUAUUUUAAAAAGGCCCUAAGUUUGGUUCUAAUUUAUUUUUAAUUAUUUUAAUCAAUUUUACCAAAUUAAUUUUUUAAAUUGAAAUUUUUGACUAUUAUUGUUGCGUUUUUAAUAACACUAAUAUCAUAGCUAUCUCCGUAGUUCACAUAUAUUUCAUUGUUGAUGUAGAUAAUCUUAAAAAAAUGAUUUUUUAAAUAAUUUUUAUGUAGUUUUAAAAAAAAUUUAUGGAGUGCACGUGAAUUGUCAUGUUUGUUAUCAAGUCAGUGUUGUUAAAAAAUUUAUUUAUCUAAUUAGUUUUUUUCAUCAAAGAUAAUAAUUUAACUAAAUUUAAAAGGAUUAAAGUGAUCCGAAAAUUUUUCAUUAAACAAAAAUAAUAAUUAAAUUAUAGGGUAAUUUAUACUAAAGAUCAUUAAAGUAUUAGUAAUUUUACAUUCUAGCCACUCAACUUCAAAAAGUUAUAAAGUGGUUAUUGGACUAUUCGAAAGUUUUCAUUUAAAUCAUUGGGUUGUUAGAAUCGUUGUUAUGUGGCUUUCUCUAUUCACACCACCUACACCAAUUGGAAGCUCUCCUCUCCCUUCUCUUUUACAAUUCAUUUUUUUUUUAUGAAACAAUUUUGAAUGUCACGAAUUUACGAACCAAAAUUCAAAUAAUUUUCUUCUUCGAUCUCCAGAAUUGAUUGACAGAUCAAUUUGGAUCUUAGGUGUGUUCUUUUACUCGUCAAUGGAUACUAAUUCACGGUACUGAUCAUCAGAUCAUCACUUAAAGCUCACUAGUCAAACUUUUUAAAAAAUUAACAACCUAGUGACUUAAACAAAUAUUUUCGAAUAAUUUCAAAAUAUAAAACUUAAACCUUUACUAACAAUACUAAAAUUUUAUCAAUAAAUAUCGAAUUUUUUUUAUAAUUUUAUUAUAAAAUUUGGAGUUUUGCAAAAUAUCACACCAAUAAUUCACCCUAAGUAAAGCUUAAAGUAAGUCAAUUCAUUGAAAUUAAAUUAAAUUGAAGAUAUUGAUAAAGGCAGGUUAACCACUAAUUGGAAAUAAAUUAUGCUUUAAUUUCUAAAUCCACAUCUUUACUCAAUCAUUCUCAUUGAUUAGUAAACAAAACAACUUUUUUUAAGUUAUAUAGAAUUUGCCAAUGCAAAAAAUAUAUAAUUUAGUAGUGUUGUUGGAAUCUGAUAAGUUAGAAAUAUAAAUUUAUCAAUAUAUUGAUUUGAACAAAAAAUUUAAACUAAAUUUUAAAUUAAUCGUUCAAAAUUGAUUAAACCAACAAUUAAAUCGAUUGAACUAAUUUUAUAAUUUUCUAUUAAAUUAAAUAAAUUAUUUCUGUACCCACACAAUAUUAGCUUGAAUAACCCAAAGCACAAAUAUCACUAGUAAGUUGAAAAUUUGAGGAAGAUGCCUCAAAAUUGAAUAACAUGAAGUCAAAUUAGGCUUGACCCUUUUGAGCUAACUUUUGGUGACGGUCGAAAUGGUUGAAUUUCACCAAAGUACACAAAAUAAAUAUUCACCCAUCACUUAGAAAUUGCUUGUUUGAAUUUUUCAUAAAUUAAAUUUGAAUUAAAAAUAAUAAUCACCCAUGUGGUGGCCUAACGGUUAAAAGUGUUCGUUAUCUUAGAUGUAACUUGAAUUCGAAUUGCACUAGUCGUAUUUGUUAUUCGAGUUUUACCUUAUUAUUGUAAUUCACCAAAAUAAAAAUAAAAAAACUUUAUUCAUCGGUUAAUAAUUCAAGUUGAAUAUGAUUUUUAUGUACAAUGAAUUUGAUUAGCUUCCUUCCAUUAGGGGUCAUAUUUUUGUGAAAUUAUUUUUAUGUAGGUCCAAAAAUGCAUGGCCGAUGAUAUUUUGACAAAUUUAGUGUUUUUUUUCUUAAAGAAAUGGGUUAGGAACAUUGAACUGUAAGUUCUAGAAACAUGAAAUUUGGGGUUUCAAUUAUUUUAUAUUUGAUAAUAAUAUGAAUAUGAUCUCAUUUAACAAAAAUUUUAAACUUUUGACCUAAAAUAUUUACAAAAUAACACACAAACUCCUAAAACAUAUUCAAGAAUAAUAUAAAAAUAGACUUUAUCAACUAUUUCGGCAUCCACCGUCUCCAAUUUUGAGGUUUUUAUGAUUGAGUUUUAGCUCGAUUGAUAUAUGUAUUAUUAUCAAUAUAGGAAAACAUAAGUUUCAUUGUGCUGAAAUAUAUUAUCCUCUUAUGUAUGAGUUGGGGAGGGGCUAUGGGUAGUUCUAGACAUUGUGUCAAAAAGAACAGAUAUUAUCAGAACCUAUAAUAAAAUUAUUCAAAAAAAAUAAAAAUAAAUAAUGUGUAAUUUUUUAAAAUAUAUUUUGAUUUAAGUUUUAUUAUCGAGUAAUUUUUUUAGAUUUAUUUUAGUUCAAGUUUGGAUAUAUUCCGAUUAUCAAUCCUUUCAUGCUUUAUUUUUAUUUUUUCAAAGGGGUGUUUCUACUGUUUUCAAAAUUGGACCAGAUCUAUCGGUCGAGCCGGUUGAAUUAUAAAUCAAUCAGGGCACUAAAUUAAAUAAAGUGUUAAAUUAAUUGACUCACAAACCAAUUGAAUCGGCCAAUCGGAUCGGUUGAACUAAUUUUUUUUAAUAAUUUGUUUAAUUAAAUCUAACCAACCAAUCAAGCCAAAAAUCUUUUUAUGUAACAAUCAAAAUUUGAAAAGCUUGGAUAUUUUCUUCUUGAUUUGAAUCCUCAUAAUAAAAUCAAUCAAAGUUGUUGCCACAAGCUUUUCAAGUGAUGCAUUAGGUUGUUUAGGUGGCCGCAUUCAAAUCUUGUGCUUGCUGGUCCAUCCCUUGCUAAAAGUCUAUAGCUUCAAUUAUGAUACCCCCAAAAUUAAAUUGUGGUCCAAAAUCCCCAAUCUAUGGGUCUCAUCUUGUAUUUAAAUUCAAUGUCACCAAAAUAUUUUCCUUUUUCAUUUAUUUUUUUAAUGAAGACAUUUUUUUCCGGGAUCGCCAUUAAUUGUCAUAAUAAACAAUGGGUAUAUGAUCAAAGACGAAGUUAGAAAUUUUAUAUUAGAAACAUUAAUAAAGUCUAGAUAAUUUUUUUUUAAAAAGUUAGGGGCUAAAGAUAAAAAUAAUUCCAAGUUAAAUGAUCUAAAUUGAAUAAAUAAUUUUUUGUAGGGUCAAAAAUGUAAUUUCCUAUUUGACCCAAAGCUAAAAAUAAUUAAAAUUGAACUCUUAAUUUUUUAGGACUAAAAAGAGAAUUAUACCAUUUAACCAAUGCUCCAGCAUGCCCCUGUCUAUCUUGUAUAAAAACUCCCUUGCCAUUUACUUUUUAAUAUAAUAAAAUUAAAUUCAGAAAGAAAAUAUUUUUCUCUUAAAUGUAUGAUUGUCACCUUUCACCUACAUUAAUUUAUUCUUUCAAAUAUUAAAUCUUGAUUUGAUUUUUUAUUUUAAAUUAAAUUAUUAAUUUUUUCGAAAAGAGACAAAUAACAUUCUAGUGAAAAUAUUGAGUAAAACAUUAAUUUUUAACGAUGUUUGCGUGGUAAUCCGUAUGACAUUUCACGUGUACUUCAUGCUGAUACAUCACUAUUUGUCUUAUAUAUCAUAUCAACAAAUAAUUUAAAUAUGUAUGAAGUUCAUAAACAUUAAAAAAAAUUAACAUGAAGUACACGUGGUUCCUAUACAUUUUGGUAAGCAUUUUUAUUAAAAGAAAUUAAUAACUCGACUAUUUUUGAAUGAUUAGUAGUCAAAUUCGAUCAUUUUUAAAAGAAGUGUCAAAUUUAACUAAAUAAUAAUAAAAUCGUAAUAAAGUUUCCAUAAUUUAAAUUGAUCCGAACUCUAAAAUUAAAUUAUUUUUUAAAUAAAAUUUGACAUAUAAAUGUAGAAGAAAAUUCGGAUUUAUAAAAAACUCGAAUUUGAAAUAAUUUUUUAUAAUCCAACCCACAAAAUUGAUAUCAUUUAAUCAAUAAAAAGGUAUUCUUUUUGUUGGUGAAUUAUAAGAGGAGGACAAAGCCCUAACAGCAACGCGACUAGCACGACUCAAACUAAAACCACACCUAGGGUGAUGAACACUAUAAUCAUCAGGGCAACACACGAGGUUCAAAAAAGAUACUUUUAAUUAUUAAUAAAUGAUUUAAAAUGAAAACAGAUCAAAACUAGUUAAAUUAUUUGAUUUUGGAUCUAUUGAAAUCUUUCUCAUCAGCUUUUUGUUGUUAGUAUUCCUUAUGGAAUCAAUGUUAGGUUGGUCCUCCUUCAUUUCCUCUUAUCAAAAAUUCCAUUUUCACCUUAUUAUUGGUCUAAUAAUUUCGAUUCAAAUGUUAAUAUGUUAGUGUUUUAAUCACAUAAUAAUGUUAAUUAUUUGGUUAACUAAUGACAUUGUAAAUGUAGAAAUCAUUUAUUUAAAGUACCGGGACUAAAUACUAAGUUUAAACAUAAUAAAAGGAUCAAAACCAAAACUUAACCUAUUUAUUAAAUAUCAAUUUUGAAAAUAUUAAUUAAAUUAAAUUAAAUUAUUGAAAAAAAAACAACUAAUUUAAUGUCAAAUUUUACUAUUAGUUCAUGUAUUAUUCAUAAGUCGUGGAUUUAGUAUUUAUGCUCUAAAUAUUUUUCAUGUUUAGUCCUUGAACUUUUUGGUUUUUAAAAUUUCAAUCCUAACCUAAAUAGUUGCUGUUGAAUUUUGUUAUUUACUAUGUCAGUUUACUAUUUCCAUGGUUUUAAGUAGGAGUUUUUCGGCUCUACAAGUUUUGUUUUUCGAAUUUAGUCAUCCAAGUUCAAGUCAUUUUGGAUUUGGAUUUGGGUCAAGUUCGAGUUGUUCCAAUUUCAAGCUAUCUCGAGUUUGGAUUGUUUUUUAAUUUUUGCCAUCUAGCUUCGCGAGUUGGUUUUUGUUUAUUUUUUUGCACUAAUUUUUAAAGUUGAAUCAUCUUGAGUUCAAGUCAUUUUAGGUCUGGCCUUGAAUUAAGCUCUGAACUGUUCCAAUUUUUGAGUACUUCAAGUUUAGGUUGUUUUUAAGUUUUGGCCAUUUAGCUUUGCCUAUUGUGUCUUUUUUUUUCACCGAGUUAUCUUGGGUUCAAGUCAUUCUUGAUUUGAAAAAUUCCCAAUUAAGAGGUUGGACAAGUUUGCUAACUUUUUAUCAGAAAAUAAAAUUGUGUUAAAUUUAAAUUAAUCGAAUUAAAUUGGUAAUUCAGAUCAAAAUUUUCAAGUUUAAUUUAAAUAUUAUUUCAAAUGUUAGUAUUUAUAAUUUCUUUUUCGUAAUCGAAAGAGAAAAUUCUCAAACCUAUGUGUUUAGUUUAAUUUACAAAUUUGUACACAAAAAAAUUGAUUUUAUUAAAUUUUCAUAAUUUUUUUAUUCAAUAUAAAAAUAAUUUGAUAUAUUUAUUUCUUUGAACGUGUAUAAUUAAAUUAAAAUUAAAAUUUCAUAUAUAUAUUUAAUCCACAAUAAAAACUUUAUAUAUAUAAUUACACCAAUUAAAUCAAAUUUUAUUUAUCAAAUUACACAUUAAAUUAAUUUUUUAUAGUUUUGCCUACCCAAAAUUACAAAAGAGAAAUCAACACUAAUAAGAUGGAAUUAUUGGUUAAAUUAAAGAGUAUUAUUGUAUUUGUAAUUUUCAAAAUGUUUUUUUUUCAUAAUUAUCAAUUUUUUUGGUUUAUAAUUUUGCACUGUUUAAUAAAAUAUAAAAUUAAACAUGACAAAGGCAUGCUUAAAUAUCACUAUCAAUUUCGAAUAACAUAGAGAUAUUAUAUCAAUAAUUUCAUCUUAAAUUUCAAGAAAUUUUAUUCUUUUUCAAUAUAAAAAUAUUGAUGUAACAUUAAUCUAUUGAAAAAGAAAUACAGAUAACAUAUCAUUUCCGAGAAAAUAGCAUGGUGAAACGAAUAUGUCCAUGACAACACAAAUUCAUGCAAUCAUCUCAAUAUCCUUUACCAAUUAAAAUUAAUUUAUUCAUAUUUUUUUACUUUUUUGGGGUUUUGAAAUAUUCAUUGUAUUUACACUAAAAUAUGUAUAUAUUAUUUCUCCAAAUAUUAUUUCCCUUACGGUGGGCUUGAUUUUGUCAAAGAUAAACAAUCUUAACAAAUCUGUCUUGAAAAUUGUUCAUUAAUUUUGUAAUUCUCUAUCUUGAUUUUUUUUUAUUUUAGAAAUAAAAUAUUUAUAUUUAUAUAAUUAAAAUAAAAUUCUAUUUGAAUAAAUUAAAUUAAAAUAAAAUUCUAUUUGAAUAAAUUAAAUUAAAAUAAAUCAAAGUGAAUUAAACCAUAUAUAUAUAUAUGAACAAUUUGAUUAUAUCUAUUAUUUUUAAUACAAUGUCUAGAAUUACCCAUAAAUAAGAGGAUAAUGCAUUUUAACACGUUAGAACUCACGCCAAUUUAAAUUAAACCGAAAUAAACUACUUUUUUUUUUGGCCAAAAAUAAAGUCAUUUAAUUAAUAAAAAUGUUGCUUUCCAAUUCCUAAUUGUCCUUUGCAAGUACUAUGUGGAAGGUGCGGUCCGGUUCGGUCACAAGUCAUCAAUUUUGUGAUGUUUACCUACUGCGUUCAUGCACCUCUUAAAGUUAGGACUUUUACUUUAUUUAAAGUUUAUUAUAUUCUAUUUUAAAAUUUAUGAUUAUGUUGUGUAUAUACUUUGAAUAUUUUAAUCCAAUAUACUAUAGAUCAUAUAUGAAUUAUCUAGGUAAUAUAUGAUGGUUAAGAUAUGUUACAAGUCGUUGACUGAGUUUUAGCUCAAUUGGUAUUAGUAUUGUUGUUAAUAUAAAAUGACGUAAGUUCGAGUGCAUCAAUACACAUUACCCUCCUAUUUAAGGGUUAGGGAGGGGCUAUGAAUAGUUUUAGUUGUGUUAAAAUUACAUUUUAACCUUAUAUAAUUAACAAAAUGAUUUUCUCAACUCAAAAGUCUGAAUUAUUGUUAAUUAAACACAGCAAAUUAUUUUUAUAUUAAUAUCAAUGUCAAUAUUUAUUGUUUAUAUGCUUUAUAAUUAAAUUUAAAUAAUUUUUUAAUUACUAAAUGUAAUGAAUUUUAAAUAUUCGGUUCAAACUCAACUAAAUAAAUAACCUGACCCUUUGGAUAAAUUGUCCAACCAAAAUCAUCUAUCGAAGAAUUUUUUUUUUUAAAAUUAUGGACCGACGUGAAUGAAUAAAUGAAAGUGAAAUUUUAUUGAGCAAAAAUGGUAUCUCCUUUGUUUUUCUUGGUUCACAGAAUUGGAACAUUGUCGCUCUUAUAUUUAGGGGGGACAGAUUUAAGUUUUUUUCUUUGCUUAUUUUUGACUUUUUUUUUGUAAGAAUAUAUAUAUAUAUAUAUAUAUAUAUAUAUAUAUAUAUAUAUAUAUAUAUAUAUCCUAUGGUUAGGGGUCUACAAUUUUAUAGUUCAUACAGGGUUAAAAUUGCUAUUAUACAAUUUUUAAAAGUUGUCACUGUUAUUUUGUUGGCCAGCUGGCGACAAAAAAAGAUAAAAUUAAAUAGUUGAAUGACCAUUUUGUAACUUUUCAUAGUUGGGUGACUAAAAAAUAAUUUUACUAAUAAUUGAGUGAUUACCAAUGUAGUUUACCUAUAAAUCAUACAGUUCGUUUUAGGUAGGAAUGACAA
This 7957-nucleotide long non-coding RNA is filed under the name Gossypium raimondii (Peruvian cotton). RNAcentral's name for it is "long non-coding RNA (GRAI_LNC003321)". Lineage: Eukaryota; Viridiplantae; Streptophyta; Magnoliopsida; Malvales; Malvaceae. The record is from RNAcentral.